AAACCCAUAAACAGAGAACAAACUGAUGGUUGUCAGAGGGGGUGGGGGAGGGACAAAAUGGCGGAAGGGGAGCAGGAGGUUAGGCUUCCCGUUCUGGAAGGAAUAAGUCAUGGGGAAAGGUGUUGCAUAGGGAGUAGAGUCGAUGGUACUAUGACCCUUGUUUGAUGACAGAUGGUAGCUACACUUGUGAGCACAGCAUAAUGCAGGGCUGUCCGCUCACUAUGUCGUCCACCUAAAAACUAAUGUAACGUGUGUCAACUAUACUUCCAUUAAAAAAAAAAAAUGCACGGCCCCUUGCCUCUCCUGUGGUUCCCUGGACCUCAGAGCAAGUUCAGACUCUAUCUAGAGACAGUCCAGCCCGCCCGCCCUGCCUGCAGGUCAGCCACAAACCCUCUCUGCUCUGCCAGGUUGGGCUGGCUCUUGCAGGCGUCGGCUCUCCUCUGUUCUGUCUGCCCUCCACUCCCUCCAUCACCGAGGUUUCUACGGAGCACCUGCUAAGGGCGGAGCCUCAGGCUAGGGGAUGCAUACAGGAGAAAUACACAGCCCCCAAAAUGAGGGGCUCUCACUCCAGCUGCUUUUCCACCGCCUCAUGACCACUACUCUUGACCCUUUUCCUCAUGCCUUUCCAGAACAUGUACUGUCUGCACCAUGACCGGUGGCCUUUGAGCUCGUCAGUCUCAUGUUCUGUCUGCUCCACCUGGAUGGGUCUUGGCUUCCUGAUAAGAUUGUCUGGUCCUGGGUAUAACAGGACUGGAAACCCUUUCUCCUGGCUCCACACAGCAAGCCUGGCUUUGCACGCAACGCCUCCUGGGUGCCCGAGAACGACUUGUUGAGCUGAAUUAAACUGAUCACGAUUGAGUCUCUGUCACAAGCCAUCCUGUGCAGCAAUUUCUCCCUCCAAUUCCUGUUUACAUCGCAACCUGUCCUCAGAGGAACUCCACUGGAUUCUAUUGGCACUGCAGUCCAGGCGGGAAAGAGGGCAGCAGAGUGACCCAUCUACAUGUCUUCAUUUCACCACUGUGGAGAAACCCGCCUCCUGCCCUUGUCUUCCUCCUCCCCCCGCCCAGAUGACUUAAAGAACCUAAUCACCAUCUUCUGGGUCCCCCCUGCCACCGUCCAGCCCCUCACCGAAAGCGCCUACCACCAUGAAUACGGAACCACAGCUCAGAUGUUUCAAGUUCAACAGCUAAAGAAAACGAGCCAUUGACUCAUUUUUCCUUGAUUCAGAGAACUGCGCGCUCCCUCCGGCAGUACCGACAUCCCUUAAGUGGGCCUCUCCCAGAGCCAGGGCCGCCCAAGGGGACUCCUGCUUCCUACCCAACUGAAUGGUGGACCAUAAAUAAGUUACAUAUCCUUGAUGUGUGACCUUGAGCGACUUCAUUGCUUCACUGCUCUGGGCUUGGAAUCCUGCAGCCACAGAGAAGGGGCUGCUAAUCGGCAGGCUCUCCAAAGGCCACUGAGCUCACACACUCUGUGCCUCUCCAAAUGCCUUCUCAUUCCCGGGCUCCCUGUGCAAAGCAGCCCGCUCAAGAAGCAACGAGCACCCUGCCACCCGCCCAGCUCUGCCACUGCCUGUAUGAAAAGGGGAAAGAUUCUCUUGUGUUUCUUUGUAUUAAGUUCCAGGCUGAAAAAAGCUCGUGAAAACUGCUGGUUCACCCAAGAUGAAAUAAAACACUCCCAGGAAAAGGGCAAACGGGUCUCAGGGGCUCAUGGCUGGCCUAGGGAGAUAAAGCUAUUCUAGAAACUUCGACAGUUUGAUUUCAGCCACUCCUAGGGAUCCUUGAGCUAGUUAGCCUCUCAGAAUAGAGGAGGAAGUAGGUGACGAGCUGCCUCUGAAGAGCUGGUGUUAGCUUCGGUACUUUCUGGGGCCUUCCUUUGGAUGACACCCAGGCCAUCAGGUUCCCACUGGCCUUUCCUGGGAGAACUCACUUGCAAAGGAGAGGAAAAUGUGUUUAAACCACAAUUGCUCUUCUAAGGAGAAGGGCUCUUAAUAAACAGGAAACCUUCUGGAUCUGCUGAGCACCUUGACUGGUUGGGAGAUGCAGUGUGGGAAGAGAGGCUGGGGCAGAGUUGGACUGCUUACAUAAAUCAUCACCAGAACUGGAAUUAGUGGGAAAAACGCGGAAGGGAGGGGUGAGAAAAAGAGAGGUCGAUGAAGGAGGGGCCGGCAAACUGGGGAGCCCGGGGCGCAACACGGGGCUUGAUCUCAAGACCCGAAGAUCAUGACCUGAGUCAGAAGCAAGAGUCAGGUGCUUAACCUACUGCGCCACCUGGGGGACCCCGAGAUGGCGAGUCCCAGUGUGUAGCUGGGUCCUGUUGCACUCAAAGCCCCUCCAUCUUUCUCUCAGUUCUGCUCUAAAAUCUUCCCUACAAAUUCCCAUGCAUGAGCGGGAUUUUUUGUUUGUUUGUUUGUUUUUGUUUGUGUUGGCGGAACCCAAGGAUGGACUCCAUUUCAAGUACGAGUCAAACACUGAAGAGAAUAACAGUAAAAGCAGAGCCACAAAAUAAGAAAUCGGGAGGAAUUGGGAGCCACGGGCGGUGACAGGAAAACCACCCCCAAAGAAUGUGGAGAAAUCGCUGGACAUUCUCAGUGUAUUGAACCAGUGGCUGGAGCUCAUGUUUUCUAGCUGUCGAUGGGAAAAAAGACCCCAUGCAUGCGUGUGUGUGUGUGUGCGUGCAUGUGCGUGUGCGUGUGUGUGUGUACACCAGGGCUGUGUACAUACACACACGCACGCACACAUGCACACACACAUCUGGAAGAAACUAAAGCAAAGACUAAGGGAGAACGCUCGGCUGAAGCACAGAUACAGGGAGCCUGGCGAACAAUGAGCAGGUGUCUUCUGGAAUCUGAGGGCUCUUCCUUAAGGAAGCUGGGCAGGGAGAGUCUUGGCUGCCAGUGAAGAAACAAAAUGCCAUGCACCCUGUGGGCAAAGGGCUGUGGCAUGGCUCCGAGGGUUCUCUGUCACCAGGGAAAUGCACUGUGAGCUUUGAGCAGAUGAGGAAUGAACUUCUCUUGACGGUUCAACAAUUUUAUGUCGGAUAUUUGGAAACGUCUAAAAACCACGGUUCCUCAAAGAUGGAAGAUGGCUUUCCCCAAUCCAUACAGCCCCUGCUCAAGCCAUUAAAGAGUGUGGGGACAAACUGAACCGAGAAAGGGACAGAGUGAGGUCGGAGGGUGGAAAGAACCAAAUUCCUGGCAACCAAGAUACAGUCCCAGAGGAAAAUGGAUGCAAGCCACAAAGAGACCCUUUGAUAGACUUUUAGCAGGAAAGAAACAGAGGGAGUGAGGAGGAAUCCAGCACAACCUUAGACAGACCUGUCUGGGCCCUAAAGCGUCUACCUUGCCGGGUUUUAUGCUUUCCGUUCUAUCCAUGGUUUUCCACAUAUACUUCCUGGACACCAAACACAAGCCAGGGAAACAGAGAUGGAACAGAGAGACGAGGGCUUGCUCUCUGAGACUUAACAUGGACGACACGCAAGGGGGAAAGGACGUGAAUAAAUGAGCUCAUUUUAGGUACCAUGAAAUAGCCCAUGAGUAAAACGAAGCAAAGAAGUGUGAUGCAGAAUGCCUUGAUUCGGGGACUGCUUGAGAGGGAGGAGUCCAGAAAAGCCUUUCUGAGAGAAGCUUAUAUGAGCUGACCCAGGAGCCAUGGGAAGGAAACAGCCUGGGACGAUGCUGGAGAGAGGUACCCUGAGCCGAGGAAAGGAAGUGCAAAGGCCCUGGGGAGGGCGGCGGGGCUGGUGGGACUGGGAUGAGGGAGGGGGCUGACAGGAAGCCUCGGGGCAGGGCCUGUGGCCUCCUGAAAGCCACAGUGAGGAAGACCAAAUUGGGCAGCCGCCUGGUACACUGUGGUGGAGAGGAGUCUGUCCGCUGUGCUGGGGAGGCCAUUUCCCCCAGCCCAGAACCAGGAGCGAGGGAGGCCGCUCCAAGAGCCGUCCUUACCGCGGAGGGCCAGCAGGUGGCUCUCUGCGAAGAGGGCAGGCCACUCUUCCCCCCACCGCCGCUGACGCCUUUCCUGUUCUAAGGCAAGAAUUGCUGCAGACUUCCUAACAAGCCCUGGCCACAAAGAAGGGGUUUCGGGGACCUGCAUGCCCGUGGCCCCAGGAAGCCAAGGGCUGAAGAACUUGUCAGUGAGUCAGCUGAGUGCAUCAUGGAGCCACACGGCCCAGGCGCCUCUCAACAGCUCUGACAUGGGAUGGGGAGUUUUCCCCUUUAAGGAGCUUGCAAUUCUCCAGGUUGUGUAAUUGUCCCUGCACCCUGACCGACCGUCGGUAUCCCUCCUGGCCCAAGCUCUUGUUCUGAGACCAAGAAGAACUUCGUGUGUUUCUUGCCUGCGGGUUCCUCACUUUCUAAUGUGUU
Long non-coding RNA from Ailuropoda melanoleuca (giant panda), 4360 nucleotides. RefSeq lists it as uncharacterized. The transcript is spliced from 3 exons. Lineage: Eukaryota; Metazoa; Chordata; Mammalia; Carnivora; Ursidae. The record is from RefSeq and is a predicted model, not a curated record.